Molecule: ribosomal RNA, 429 nt
Filed under: uncultured Acidobacterium sp.
Lineage: Bacteria; Pseudomonadati; Acidobacteriota; Terriglobia; Terriglobales; Acidobacteriaceae
Description: bacterial SSU rRNA
Rfam family: Bacterial small subunit ribosomal RNA
Source: RNAcentral
AACGCGAAGAACCUUACCUGGGCUCGAAGCGCAGUGGACCGGGGUAGAAAUAUCCCUUCCUCGCAAGAGGCUGCUGCGGAGGUGCUGCAUGGCUGUCGUCAGCUCGUGUCGUGAGAUGUUGGGUUAAGUCCCGCAACGAGCGCAACCCUUAUCCCUAGUUGCCAUCGGGUCAAGCCGGGCACUCUAGUGAAACCGCCCAGGAUAACUGGGAGGAAGGUGGGGAUGACGUCAAGUCCUCAUGGCCUUUAUGUCCAGGGCUACACACGUGCUACAAUGGUCGGUACAAACCGUCGCAAACCCGCGAGGGGGAGCUAAUCGGAAAAAGCCGGCCUCAGUUCGGAUUGGAGUCUGCAACCCGACUCCAUGAAGCUGGAAUCGCUAGUAAUCGCGGAUCAGAACGCCGCGGUGAAUACGUUCCCGGGCCUUGUA